Drosophila subobscura is the source of this 1559-nucleotide long non-coding RNA. RefSeq lists it as uncharacterized. The record is from RefSeq and is a predicted model, not a curated record. NCBI's taxonomy places the organism in Eukaryota, Metazoa, Arthropoda, Insecta, Diptera, Drosophilidae. The transcript has 4 exons.
UUUGCCUUUUUCAGCCCACGGAUUGUUCUUCUUAUCCGGAGCAUUAAUCAACGGAUCGUUCUUCUCAUUCUCCUCAAUGAACGACCGCAUUCUGUGCAAAAAGAGAGAAGUGGUGAGACAUGGAAAUUCAUGUGAAGGAGGUCACCCAAUGGGGUUGUGGCAAAAUGUGAGAAUAAAGAGUUCUCAAGGUUGGACGGACGAUUGCCCCUCGGGAACUGGUGGGGGGAAAUAAAAAGCGGAAUUUAUGCCAGUUAGAAAUUCAGAUAUUUACUGUUGAAGCUCUUGAUGGAGUCUGUAUUUUAAUGACAGAAUAUUUCAUAUCAAAUUUCCAAAGAAAUUGUCGGUUUGUUUCCAUACAUCUAUCUACCUUCAGCAUCUAAUAUUUACUUAUUUAAAAUUAAAUCCCCUAAGCACAUCCUUAGCGUGAAAUUCAAUUCCCAAUCAAAAUUCAACAAAAUUGUUAUUAGAAAAUCAAUGCAAGAUGUUGGCAUUUGUUUGCAGAAGCGAGGAAGGAGGCCACACACGUGUCAGACAGAAUGAAAAUGCCAAUGCCUAACGCACGAUAAUCGAAUUGAAGGCGAAAUGGCAAAGCUCUAAUUCGCAAAGAAAGAGAAAAAAAGUAAUAUUUUCCAGGUAUCGUUUAAGUCAUUUGAGCUAUGAAUACCCCCUGGAAACCAAGCGCCUUUGAGGCGGCAGCCUUCAGUCUCCUACACACUUAAAUGUAGCCUCUCUCUGCCGAGGAGAAAUAAAAUACAUAAACAGAAAGCUUAGCAUACAUUUGAGAGCUGCCUUCCGAUUUCCAAUUCCUUGAGUAUUCGAGGCACGCACGACGCCCACGCCCAAGACCCCAUCCCGCCUCGUAGUAGGAAAAAGAUACACGUAUGCUGCUUGACUAUAGGAAACGGGAUAAUGCAUAUGCAUAAUGCUUAUAGUCCUGCCACUUCCCUUCUCCAUGGCCUGCCCUGUUGCUGCUGAUGCUGAUGAAAUGAAUGUUGAGGCGGAAAUUUAAUGCCAGAAAUUGCAAAUAUCCUGCUAUCAAAAACUUGUCGAGCUGUGGGUUGCCACCUGCCGCGCCGUGUACACGAUGCACACUUCUUACCCUACAAUGUAUUUGCAUAUUUGAUUUGCAGGAUGGCUGAAGGGCAAGAGAAGCACAGAGAAUGAGGGGGAAAAGCCGAACGAACGGAGCCGCAUGUCUAGUCGCUGUCUACACAAACAAUCACGCACACACACAGAGACAGGCUAAGGCAGGAAGCAGGCGCACACACACAGAUACGGUGGGGGUUUCGGAGUGUAUGUGUGGAAGUAACUCCAGGAGACUCUUUUUCGAAGAAGAAAAACAAAAGAACCCACCACCGUGCAGCAGCAAAACAACCGAAAACAACUUCAUAUUUAUGUAAAUAUUUAGCAAACAAGCAAAAUGUAGACAGACAGUCAGAGGCACACUCUUCUUGUACCUGAGGUGUGGGCUGUGAAAAUAUUUAAGGCACUUUUUGGGCGAAAUUCUUAAUGAAAAUAAGAACACUUAUCAGCACAUCAAAGACACAACACUGAAUUGC